GCCUGCAAAUGCAUGCCUGUAGUCCCAGCUACUCGGGAGGCUGAGGUGGGAGGAUCGCUUGAGUACAGGAGUUCUGGGCUGUAGUGCGCUAUGCCGAUCGGGUGUCCGCACUAAGUUUGGCAUCAAUAUGGUGACCUCCUGGGAGCGGGGAGCCACCAGGUUGCCUAAGGAGGGGUGAACCGGCCCAGGUCAGAAACGGAGCAGGUCAAAACUCCCAUGCUGAUCAUUAGGCAAUUUAGAUAACACGUUCUUUUUUCUCCACAGAGGCAAAACCCUCCCCUUCAAGAACGUCUUUGGCCUUUU
Molecule: signal recognition particle RNA, 303 nt
Filed under: Sciurus vulgaris (Eurasian red squirrel)
Lineage: Eukaryota; Metazoa; Chordata; Mammalia; Rodentia; Sciuridae
Description: Metazoan signal recognition particle RNA (ENSSVLG00005014180.1)
Rfam family: Metazoan signal recognition particle RNA
About the family: The signal recognition particle (SRP) is a universally conserved ribonucleoprotein. It is involved in the co-translational targeting of proteins to membranes.
Source: RNAcentral